GACGAACGCUGGCGGCGUGCUUAACACAUGCAAGUCGAACGGAAAGGCCUGCUUUCCCUUGUGGAUUGCGGGUACUCGAGUGGCGAACGGGUGAGUAACACGUGAGUGAUCUGCCCCCAACUUGGGUAUAAGCCUGGGAAACUGGGUCUAAUUCCCGAUAGGACUGCAGGGUGUGCCUGUGGUGGGAAAAGAUUUUCUAGUUGGUGGGGAUGAGCUCGCGGCCUAUCAGCUUGUUGGUGGGGUAAUGGCCUACCAAGGCGGCGACGGGUAGCCGGCCUGAGGGGGUGGACGGCCACAUUGGGACUGAGAUACGGCCCAGACUCCUACGGGAGACAGCAGUGGGGAAUAUUGCACAAUGGGCGGAAGCCUGAUGCAGCGACGCCGCGUGGGGGAUGACGGCCUUCGGGUUGUAAACUCCUUUCGACCGCGAGGAAGCCACCUGGUUGGAAGGGUGGUGACGGUAGUGGUAGAAGAAGCACCGGCUAACUACGUG
This 493-nucleotide ribosomal RNA is filed under the name uncultured bacterium. RNAcentral's name for it is "partial 16S ribosomal RNA". It matches the Rfam family "Bacterial small subunit ribosomal RNA", at positions 28 to 507 of the family's 1533-position model. The record is from RNAcentral.